GACGAACGCUGGCGGCGUGCCUAAUACAUGCAAGUAGAACGCUGAAGAGAGGAGCUUGCUCUUCUUGGAUGAGUUGCGAACGGGUGUGCAACGCGUAGGUAACCUGCCUGGUAGCGGGGGAUAACUAUUGGAAACGAUAGCUAAUACCGCAUAAUAGUAGAUGUUGCAUGACAUUUGCUUAAAAGGUGCAAUUGCAUCACUACCAGAUGGAUCUGCGUUGUAUUAGCUAGUUGGUGAGGUAACGGCUCACCAAGGCAACGAAACAUGGCCGACCUGAGAGGGUGAUCGGCCACACUGGGACUGAGACACGGCCCAGACUCCUACGGGAGGCAGCAGUAGGGAAUCUUCGGCAAUGGACGGAAGUCUGACCGAGCAACGCCGCGUGAGUGAAGAAGGUUUUCGGAUCGUAAAGCUCUGUUGUAAGAGAAGAACGAGUGUGAGAGUGGAAAGUUCACACUGUGACGGUAUCUUACCAGAAAGGGACGGCUAACUACGUGC
This 498-nucleotide ribosomal RNA is filed under the name uncultured Streptococcus sp. RNAcentral's name for it is "bacterial SSU rRNA". It matches the Rfam family "Bacterial small subunit ribosomal RNA", at positions 28 to 508 of the family's 1533-position model. Lineage: Bacteria; Bacillati; Bacillota; Bacilli; Lactobacillales; Streptococcaceae. The record is from RNAcentral.